This 208-nucleotide unclassified non-coding RNA is filed under the name plant metagenome. Its description in RNAcentral is "partial contains small subunit ribosomal RNA, internal transcribed spacer 1, and 5.8S ribosomal RNA". The record is from RNAcentral.
GUAGGUGAACCUGCGGAAGGAUCAUUCAUAAUAAGUGUUUUACGGCACUUUUUUAAAUCCAUAUCCACCUUGUGUGCAAUGUCAGAGUUGAUUUUUCUCUCGAGAGGAUCAACCCCAAACAUCAACUAUAUCUCAACUCUUUGUCUGAAAAAUAUUAUGCAUAAAACAAUGCAAAAUAAAACUUUCAACAACGGAUCUCUUGGCUCUC